CAUCAAAGAGUUUUGUUGUGAGAGAUGCUCCAUGGACAGCAGGAGGCGGCAAUGAGAAGGCUCCCGACAUGAGCAGCUCUGAGGAUUUUCCCAGUUUUGGGGCACCAUUCCUUCACAAGACGUCUCCUUGGGGCCCGAAGCGGCACAGCGGUGGAAAAGUCCUUCUGCCUGCUGUGAUGUCUGCUUCCUGUUAAAGGACCACUAUAGUGCCAGGAAAACAUACUCGUGCCCCCACCCUCAGGGACCCCCUCCCGCCCGGCUCUGGAAGGGGGAAAGGGGUAAAAACUUACCUUUUUCC
Non-coding RNA from Pelobates cultripes (western spadefoot toad), 298 nucleotides. The record is from the annotation of a GenBank genome assembly. NCBI's taxonomy places the organism in Eukaryota, Metazoa, Chordata, Amphibia, Anura, Pelobatidae.